UACGUAGGGUGCGAGCGUUGUCCGGAAUUAUUGGGCGUAAAGGGCUCGUAGGCGGUUUGUCGCGUCGGGAGUGAAAACCAGGUGCUUAACACCUGGCUUGCUUUCGAUACGGGCAGACUAGAGGUAUGCAGGGGAGAACGGAAUUCCUGGUGUAGCGGUGAAAUGCGCAGAUAUCAGGAGGAACACCGGUGGCGAAGGCGGUUCUCUGGGCAUGACCUGACGCUGAGGAGCGAAAGCCAGGGGAGCAAACGGG
This 253-nucleotide ribosomal RNA is filed under the name uncultured bacterium. RNAcentral's name for it is "partial 16S ribosomal RNA". It matches the Rfam family "Bacterial small subunit ribosomal RNA", at positions 524 to 776 of the family's 1533-position model. The record is from RNAcentral.